Molecule: long non-coding RNA, 3024 nt
Organism: Acipenser ruthenus (sterlet)
Lineage: Eukaryota; Metazoa; Chordata; Actinopteri; Acipenseriformes; Acipenseridae
Exons: 4
Source: RefSeq, a predicted model, not a curated record
GCUGAAGAAACGUUCCUGUCUAAAUUACACAGUGGCAGAAUGGCAAGAACAGGAAAUUUACUGCUGAAACUAUCUUUAGGGAAUGUAAACAAACUGGAAAGCCACAAGUGUUGGAUUUCAAGGAAGCACAGUGAACACGAAGGGUAAAUCGCAUAGGACUGCAUUAAAGGAGCUGCUAGACGGAGCUGCUCAGGGAGUCUCAUCUUCAGCAGUUGGCAGGGAUGCCCAUGGAGCUUAGCGGAGGUCUCCUGCCUGGCAGCACUGAAACCCGAUAAUGACAACACAGUGAAAUGUGGGACUGGCCAGCGCUGAACUUGAGUGGCGUUGAGAUGCAAAGGCCCAAGAUAUUGGAUCCCAAGGUGCAAACACAAGAUAAUCUGCUUUUUUGUUUUUACAAGCUUUACGAGAGAAGGAUUUCCUGGAUUUACGGGCAAGGAUGCUUCACGGCAUUGGGAAUGGGAGCCAAACACCUGCGACACACAGCAACAGGAAGUAGCAGCAGGAUCAUCUUUUGUGUGAACCAGCCUUCAAUUCUGGGUCCUAUUUAUAUCCAAACUAUAUACUGUUGUAUAGUCUUAUCCUUCUGAAACGAGACCCUGACAGGAUAAUAAGAGAAAACAUGCUGUGUGUUCCUUUGGGGUUGUUUUCACACACACACACACACACACAACACAGUAGAAACCAGACAGUACGAAAGCAGACAGAAAUAUACAGCAUUUGGUAAAAGCACGUGAAUUAUUUCUAGAGGCCUCAGCGUUGGGUGGUCAUGGUACACAAUGGACAGUGGUAGCACUAAAAGAUAUUCGUACAUAUAUUUUAACAUAUAUUGGAGCGGUCUGUGCUAGAAAGAAACAACCAAGAAAAAACAUUCUUUUUAGUUUAAAAAAUGAAAGAAAGUAUACCAGGUGUUUAAUAUUUACAAUUUCUUACAGUCUUCAAAUGGGUUGCUCCCAUUGAAACAGUAAAAACUAAAAUUGGUAAGUAAGUUAAUAGUACGUCUGCAUCUUUUUACUAAAAAAAAUAUUUAGAAUAUGUUCCCAUUUAUCUGUUAUGGCAGAACCUCAGAAGAAAUAAGAAUAAUUCUUAUACCAUAAUGCUGUAUGUAGGUUAAAUUGGACAUACUGUACCAGUAGUCGCUUUGCAUACAACACACAAAUAUUUAUUUUAAAGAAAUUGUUACGUAAUGUUUGUUUCUCUAAUGAAAAUGUUGAGUUUUGUAUUGGUUUUGCAACAACAACAACAAAAACUAUUAUUUCCUGUUUUGAGUUCAUGGCAACCGGCAUUGAGUUAAAAGACUCUCACCUAUUUAAAAACAGAAGAAACUGAAAAAGAAGCGCUGUGCCUUGUGUAUGUAUAUGACAAAGAACAUCCUGCUUUUCUUAAUGAUCUGAAAUGUAUUGUGACCCAGAAGCUGUCAGGAAUGAAAUACUGCUGUUACUUUUGGGAGUUUUAAUGAUGCGGGAGAGAGUGGGAAGUUGUGGUCUUGUUUCCUAUGGAGGCAUGCUGUAAACAGUGCAUGUACUGGCUGUGACCCUGUGGCAUUAGCUGCGUGGGUGACGUUGGAACACAAAAGUCCGUAAAAAAAAAAGAUUAAAGCUGAAAUACUUUGCUAUUUAAAGAUAUGCAUCUGGGCAUGUAUUUAUUUUUGUGUUACAAUUUUUGUAGGUACCUGUGAACAGGUACCUACAAGUCCAUUUGCCAUCGAUUCAUUGAAAGACACAACAUUACAAAAGCUAUCGUCACGUGCGAUUGGUUGUGUAAGUUUCUGCCAUUGCUGUACAGUACUUCAGGAAUCUGGGGUGGCUCAAUCUAUAUGCAACCAGAUUCUUUGCUUUCCACACCUCUCCUCCCCAUUCCCAGGACCAAGAGGACAGUGCAAGGCUGUGCCUCUCCCAGCUUUGUUUUAUGAGGUAGUGAUCAGGUGCCCUGAACACCAAGUGAACCAGAACCCCCCACAUCUGGCUGCAGCUCCACGCUUGUUUGCAUUUGUCUUGCUUGCUGUCGACCACCCUGCCUUCGUAGAGACACUGGGCUUCUCCACGCUUAGGUGGCAACGUCCAUAGGCCUCCUCUUUUAAAAAGGUAUGACUGCUAAUGUACUAAUUACUCAUUUGAUAUUGAUAACACCGGUAUCACAAUGCUAACCUAAGUGGGUUAUUUAAUAUUAUGGUACUUCAUGAUCUUAUUCUGGCUCUUUCAGAUAUAGAUAGGUAUCUUCUAAUGACCUUUGACAGUGUUCUAAAACCGGCAUCCUAAAAUGUAUAAACCUGAUUUUGAGGACUUCAAACACACUUUGUAUUGUAGUGUAUGUUGUAAUGUUAAUAAGCAGGGUCGGUCCAUAAAUCAGGAGGAAAACCCAGUACCCCCAAACUUAUUUUGUAACAAUCUAACUUUUGUCAUGUUGAGCUCCAUUUUUGUGUGUUCGUUUUUAUAUAGCUCUUUCUGUUAUUAGAUUAUUGUUAGAUUUGCUGUUUUUAUUUGUUCAACGCACACAAACAAAACUGAUGGAAAUGGUAUGGUGUUGUACAGUAUUUCUCUAAACCUCUGCAUGUUCUACCCAAGGCUGUGUAACUGUCUAAAGCUAAGCAGUAAAUUAUUACUUUAUACAUGGAAGCAGCCCCCUCAAAACACAUCCAUAUUCUAAGAUAAUUGGUUAUUACUAAUACUGUUUUACUAUUUUUGAAGUGUGUCUCUUACAAUAACCUACGGACUGAAAAAGAGUUUAAUGAUAACAUCUCAUGGAAGCUUAGCACCCUCUAGUGGUUUUAAUGGAUUUUAAAUCUUGACACGACAGCUGUAAAAUGAUGGGCUAAUUUACAGCUGUUAUUUAGGAGUUGAUUUAAAAGAAUUUUAGUUUUUAAUUAAUAACGUUUUAUGUUCAUAACUGUGCUAGACUGUUUAAUUACAAUAUUCAACUAUUUUGUUCCAAAAAAAAACUAUAUUCAGAAAAAAAAACAUUUAAUAACUCACAAAGCAAGUCUACAAAAUGUGUAAAUAUUUAAUUCUACCAACCUUUCUAAAUAAU